ACUCCUACGGGAGGCAGCAGUGGGGAAUCUUAGACAAUGGGGGAAACCCUGAUCUAGCCAUGCCGCGUGAGUGACGAAGGCCCUAGGGUCGUAAAGCUCUUUCGCUGGGGGAAGAUAAUGACGGUACCCAGUAAAGAAACCCCGGCUAACUCCGUGCCAGCAGCCGCGGUAAUACGGAGGGGGUUAGCGUUGUUCGGAAUUACUGGGCGUAAAGCGCACGUAGGCGGGCUGUUAAGUCGGGGGUGAAAUCCCGGGGCUCAACCCCGGAACUGCCUUCGAUACUGGCAGCCUUGAGUUCGAGAGAGGUGAGUGGAAUUCCGAGUGUAGAGGUGAAAUUCGUAGAUAUUCGGAGGAACACCAGUGGCGAAGGCGGCUCACUGGCUCGAUACUGACGCUGAGGUGCGAAAGCGUGGGAGCAAACAGGAUUAGAUACCCUGGUAGGUCAGU
This 447-nucleotide ribosomal RNA is filed under the name uncultured bacterium. RNAcentral's name for it is "bacterial SSU rRNA". It matches the Rfam family "Bacterial small subunit ribosomal RNA", at positions 335 to 798 of the family's 1533-position model. The record is from RNAcentral.